GAUGAACGCUGGCUACAGGCUUAACACAUGCAAGUCGAGGGGAAACGGCAUUGAGUGCUUGCCCUGAAUGGACGUCGACCGGCGCACGGGUGAGUAACGCGUAUCCCACCUUCCCGUUACUGCGGGAUAACCUGCCGAAAGGCAGACUAAUACCGCAUGUUCUUCGAUGACGGCAUCAGAUUCGAAGCAAAUAUCCGUCGGUAACGGCGGGUGAUGCGUCAGAUUAGCUAGUUGGCGGGGCGACGGCCCACCAAGGCGACGAUCAGUAGGGGUUCUGAGAGGAAGGUCCACCAGAUCUGAGAUGCGGCCCAGUCCAAAAUCGUACGGAGGGCAGGAGUAAGGAAUACUAGUCAAUGAGGGGAAGCCGGGACCAGCCAAGUGGCGUGCAGGAGGACGGCGGUACGGGUUGUAAACUGCUUGGAAGCGGGGAUAAAGUGAGGGACGCGUCCCUUUUUGAAGGUACCGAAUGAAUAAGGACCGGCUAAUUCCGUG
This 492-nucleotide ribosomal RNA is filed under the name uncultured bacterium. Its description in RNAcentral is "partial 16S ribosomal RNA". It matches the Rfam family "Bacterial small subunit ribosomal RNA", at positions 28 to 507 of the family's 1533-position model. The record is from RNAcentral.